GGUUAAGCGACUAAGCGUACACGGUGGAUGCCCUGGCAGUCAGAGGCGAUGAAGGGCGUGCUAAUCUGCGAUAAGCGCCGGUAAGGUGAUAUGAACCGUUAUAACCGGCGAUACCCGAAUGGGGAAACCCAGUGUGACUCGUCACACUAUCAUUAACUGAAUCCAUAGGUUAAUGAGGCGAACCGGGGGAACUGAAACAUCUAAGUACCCCGAGGAAAAGAAAUCAACCGAGAUUCCCCCAGUAGCGGCGAGCGAACGGGGAGGAGCCCAGAGCCUGAAUCAGCAUGUGUGUUAGUGGAAGCGUCUGGAAAGACGCGCGAUACAGGGUGACAGCCCCGUACACAAAAGCGUAUGUGCUGUGAGCUCGAUGAGUAGGGCGGGACACGUGGUAUCCUGUCUGAAUAUGGGGGGACCAUCCUCCAAGGCUAAAUACUCCUGACUGACCGAUAGUGAACCAGUACCGUGAGGGAAAGGCGAAAAGAACCCCGGCGAGGGGAGUGAAAAAGAACCUGAAACCGUGUACGUACAAGCAGUGGGAGCACAGGUUUACCUGUGUGACUGCGUACCUUUUGUAUAAUGGGUCAGCGACUUAUAUUCUGUAGCAAGGUUAACCGAAUAGGGGAGCCGGAGGGAAACCGAGUCUUAAUUGGGCGUUAAGUUGCAGGGUAUAGACCCGAAACCCGGUGAUCUAGCCAUGGGCAGGUUGAAGGUUGGGUAACACUAACUGGAGGACCGAACCGACUAAUGUUGAAAAAUUAGCGGAUGACCUGUGGCUGGGGGUGAAAGGCCAAUCAAACCGGGAGAUAGCUGGUUCUCCCCGAAAGCUAUUUAGGUAGCGCCUCGUGAAUUCAUCUCCGGGGGUAGAGCACUGUUUCGGCUAGGGGGUCAUCCCGACUUACCAACCCGAUGCAAACUGCGAAUACCGGAGAAUGUUAUCACGGGAGACACACGGCGGGUGCUAACGUCCGUCGUGAAGAGGGAAACAACCCAGACCGCCAGCUAAGGUCCCAAAGUCAUGGUUAAGUGGGAAACGAUGUGGGAAGGCCCAGACAGCCAGGAUGUUGGCUUAGAAGCAGCCAUCAUUUAAAGAAAGCGUAAUAGCUCACUGGUCGAGUCGGCCUGCGCGGAAGAUGUAACGGGGCUAAACCAUGCACCGAAGCUGCGGCAGCGACACUCAGGUGUUGUUGGGUAGGGGAGCGUUCUGUAAGCCUGCGAAGGUGGCCUGUGAGGGUUGCUGGAGGUAUCAGAAGUGCGAAUGCUGACAUAAGUAACGAUAAAGCGGGUGAAAAGCCCGCUCGCCGG
RNAcentral lists this ribosomal RNA (1302 nucleotides) under Salmonella enterica subsp. enterica serovar Agona str. SA-5. RNAcentral describes it as "bacterial LSU rRNA". It matches the Rfam family "Bacterial large subunit ribosomal RNA", at positions 1 to 1340 of the family's 2925-position model. The record is from RNAcentral. Lineage: Bacteria; Pseudomonadati; Pseudomonadota; Gammaproteobacteria; Enterobacterales; Enterobacteriaceae.